This is a long non-coding RNA of Sander lucioperca (pikeperch), 2372 nucleotides long. Lineage: Eukaryota; Metazoa; Chordata; Actinopteri; Perciformes; Percidae. The record is from Ensembl.
AGGAAGUGGCUGAUGGGGAGUUGUACCUGGACGACGGCCACUCCUUCAGCUACCGUGACAACAAGGCCUUCUGCCUGCGCAGGUUCACCAUGCUGUCAGGCCGUCUGCUCUGCCGUCCUGCCAGUGAAGGAGGAGGAGCGUUUGACUGCGUUACUGUCGUACGGUCAGUCACCGUCCUGGGAAUGAAGAGCAAACCGUCCACAGUGGUUGUGCACGUGUCAGGUGCUAAAGACACCCCCGCUGCCUUUGAAUACAUGGAGACCUGCUGCAUGCUGACAGUGAACAACCUGAAGCUCAGAGUGGCGAUGGACUGGGAGAUACAGAUAGGUUAAUGGUCAAUGUGUCAGUCACUCAUUUUAAAAGCUUAGCAAAGUACACUUGAUUGACUAUAUUUGAAAUGAAGACUUGUUUAUGCAAACUGGCACAUGUGUAGCUACAAACAAGCAAACAAAUAAGUCAAAAGGGACUACACACACUGCUCCACGAUUAUGUUUUAAUCAUUUUACUUGUAUUGAACUUCAGAUUUUUUUUUAUUUAAAACCUCAGAUUUACAGGUUGGCAAAUCCCUCCACUGACUUCUGCUUCAUCGAGUACUGUACUUUUUUAAAUCUGCGUCUAUACUAGGGUUGCACAAUAUAUCGUUUUUUUAUCGUCAUCGCAAUGUCAACUGGCGCGAUAUACACAUCACGAAACACUGCAACAUAUCGCAAAUGACACUGUGUUAGUUGAAAGAAAAUAAUCAGCAGAAAACUGCACUUUAAAAUGUAAUUAUUCUUUUUUAGCGGUGCCUUUAAUAUCAUUUGUUAUUUUUUCAUCAUAUUAUGCAGCCCUAGUCUGUAGUCAGAAACAUCAAAAGAACAAAAGAGACAUAUUUUAAUCUAGGAACUAUGAGAUUGUUUUAAAUUAUCAAAGAUAUCAAGUUUGAUCGUUAAUAAUAAUCAAUGAGAAAUGACGUGGUUUAAAGUUGUGGAGUGAAAGUGUACUGAAUAAAGGGUGCACUGAUGUGCAGCUUCUUGCUGUAACAGACCUUUUAUUCUUAACAUGAUGUCAUGCUAACCUAACACCUGGUGACGAAGCAUAUAUUUUUGCUCAACAGCAUUGCGUUGUGUUGGUGUGACCUCUUCCUAACCCAGAUGUUUUCUUACUUUAGGGUCACAAAAUGGUACAAUAACAAAUGCUCGGAUAAGCCGAAUUCCAAAAUGAGACAUUACAAAGAAAUAGCAGUAAGUGUAUCAAGUCAAAACAGACAGUGUAACAUACAUUUAUUAUAUGCGUGUUAUAUGAGUGCUUUGAGAGUAUAUUUGAAGUUUAGUUUAAUCUCAUAACUCAGUUCCUAAAUGUUAAAGCUACCUAGUUUAAUAAUAAUGCAUUGACUAUCAAGCAAGAGCACUUCGGUGAUAUAGUAUGUUUUAUAGCAAAAGUUAAAAGCUGCUUUAUUAAGGAAGAAAAGAGAAAGAGGGAGACAGACAUAGAGAAGACAAUAUAUACAUUUAAGGAGAAUUAAGUGUACAACCCACAAAGGCCAAAGAAAACAAAAGGGUUUAAGAUUUGGAUUCUCGGAGACCUUUCAGGAGGCUGAGGAGCCCUAACCCUAACCCUAACCCUAACAGCACUCGAUACAAUAAAACCAAUGUCAAUCCUCUUUGCAAAUAUUCUGUAUUUUUUAUGUUUAUUUCUACUUUAAUCCCAGAAUUGUAUUCUGUGUUUUUCUCCACCAGAAAGUCAUUCAUAUCUGAGGGGAAAAUGUUGAUUAUGAUUAUUUUACUGUAAACCGUACCACUACUUUACUGUAAGGUGUUCCACUGUACAUACAUUGCCAGUCUAUUGGUGAUCAUCUCUGCUGUUUAUCAAUACCCCAAAAUAUUGGAUUGAAUUGGUACUUUGCUUUAAAAGGGAUGAUACUUCUCUUGGUAGCAUUAGCCCGCUCUAGUUAUGCUGAGACUGCUCAAUGCUGAGCUCCAUUGAGAAUAGGUUUAAAGGGCUUGAAUGCCUUCUGCUGAGGCAGGGCAUCUAGCGACCCCUCUUUACAUGCCCUCUGGUGCGGCCCACUGGCCUUUGUGUCACCCAACAAUGAUGGCACCGGAGCACCACAGCCAGGGAGAGAUCAUUGUUCAGUUCAGCCAAUGGGAACGCAACAAACAGACGUGUAUGUGAUGUGUGAGUUUUCUGUGCAUGUGUGUGUGUGUGUGUGUGUAUGGUAAUGCAAAGGUGAAUGCAGGUGGAGUCUUUCACACCAAACCUUUGCAUCUACUGUGUGACGAAGGGGAGGGGGACGUCACGCAAAGGAAGAGCCAAUCAGACAUUACCUGUUUGGAUUUAUGCCAGGGCUUUUAGGCUUGUAAGACUUUAGUACAAGUGGCAAAAGCCAGUUU